GAUGAAGAACGCAGUGAAAUGCGAUAAGUAAUGUGAAUUGCAGAAUUCAGUGAAUCAUCGAAUCUUUGAACGCACAUUGCGCCCGCCAGUAUUCUGGCGGGCAUGCCUGUUCGAGCGUCAUUUCAACCCUCAAGCCCCCGGGCUUGGUGUUGGGGAUCGGCGUGCCCUCGCGGCGCGCCGUCCCCUAAAUCUAGUGGCGGUCUCGCUGUAGCUUCCUCUGCGUAGUAGCAACACUCGCACUGGAUCGCAGCGCGGCCACGCCGUUAAACCCCCCACUUCUGAAAGUUUGACCUCGGAUCAGGUAGGAAUACCCGCUGAACUUAAGCAUAUCAAUAAGCGGAGGA
RNAcentral lists this unclassified non-coding RNA (344 nucleotides) under soil metagenome. RNAcentral's name for it is "partial contains 5.8S ribosomal RNA, internal transcribed spacer 2, and large subunit ribosomal RNA". The stretch from base 1 to 120 matches the Rfam family "5.8S ribosomal RNA", at positions 35 to 154 of the family's 154-position model. The record is from RNAcentral.